Molecule: long non-coding RNA, 475 nt
Organism: Vigna angularis (adzuki bean)
Lineage: Eukaryota; Viridiplantae; Streptophyta; Magnoliopsida; Fabales; Fabaceae
Exons: 3
Source: RefSeq, a predicted model, not a curated record
CUCACUGCCACUCAAUCAUCUUUAUAUACAAAAACCCUAUUCCUCAAUGCAUCGCAAACCAUUCAGUCUAUACAAGCAAUUGAAUCAACGGUUGCUAUCAAAACACCAAUAACAUGAGCCACGACGAUGAUGAGAAACACUCCCCAGUAGGUGCUCCUCCCCCACAGGCAGCAAAGGACCCUCACACUCCACCGGUUUACCCGCCGCUAGACGGUGCUCCACAGUACGUUCAACAACCUCUUCCACCCAACCAAGAAAUGGGUUGUUUUGAAAAAUGUAUAAUUGAACUUUGUUGUUGUUGCAAGUGCGACUCAUUCUUUUAAGUUCCAAAGAGGUAUGUAUAGUGAUCCAACAAAAACUAUUUGGUUGACUCAUUAACAUCGAUGUCAUCAAGUCAAUACUAGAAAUGUUAACAAAUGUUUAGACUGUUAUUGUAAUUUAUGUUUCCUCAAGAAUAGUAAAUUCUUAUGAUAGA